RNAcentral lists this long non-coding RNA (229 nucleotides) under Vigna radiata. RNAcentral's name for it is "long non-coding RNA (VRAD_LNC016623)". The record is from RNAcentral. Lineage: Eukaryota; Viridiplantae; Streptophyta; Magnoliopsida; Fabales; Fabaceae.
UAGGAUCAUGUGUCCUCCAAUUGGGGUGAGGUCCACCCUAAAACCCUAGGUGCCAUGUGUUCAUUUUUACAAUUGGGCUUAAGCUAUUCUACCAAAAUUAGCCCACAAUGCAAAGAGUUUGUCUAAAAACUUUAAACAAUUAAAUUUACAAUGUAACUAAAUUUAAAAUGACUAAAUUGGGAGUCUUGAAUUAUUUUGUCUCCUCUCAAUGCUCCAAAAUAUAUCUCCA